RNAcentral lists this long non-coding RNA (200 nucleotides) under Hordeum vulgare. RNAcentral's name for it is "long non-coding RNA (HVUL_LNC002997)". The record is from RNAcentral. Lineage: Eukaryota; Viridiplantae; Streptophyta; Magnoliopsida; Poales; Poaceae.
AUAAAACUGCUCCGUUGAAGUUGGCCCGGCCCCGGGGCUGCCGUACGCCUGUAACAGGCAAGGGUAGACGGCGAAAAUGGACGCGACGAUGAUGAUGGGCGGGCGAUCGCUGCCAGCGGCCCCGGAGACGGGAGAGAGGGAGCGACGCGUUGUAGCGCCCAGCAGCAGUGUCUGUCCCCUGCCGCCGCCACGCCCUACAC